This 138-nucleotide ribosomal RNA is filed under the name uncultured eukaryote. Its description in RNAcentral is "partial 18S ribosomal RNA". It matches the Rfam family "Eukaryotic small subunit ribosomal RNA", at positions 1299 to 1458 of the family's 1831-position model. The record is from RNAcentral.
UGGUGGAGUGAUUUGUCUGGUUAAUUCCGUUAACGAACGAGACCUCAGCCUACUAAUUAGUUUAUCGAAUGUUACAUUCGCAUAAACAUCUUAGAGGGACUAUCGGUUUUUAGCCGAAGGAAGUAUGAGGCAAUAACA